GACGAACGCUGGCGGCGUGCCUAAUACAUGCAAGUCGAACGAACUCUGGUAUUGAUUGGUGCUUGCAUCAUGAUUUACAUUUGAGUGAGUGGCGAACUGGUGAGUAACACGUGGGAAACCUGCCCAGAAGCGGGGGAUAACACCUGGAAACAGAUGCUAAUACCGCAUAACAACUUGGACCGCAUGGUCCGAGCUUGAAAGAUGGCUUCGGCUAUCACUUUUGGAUGGUCCCGCGGCGUAUUAGCUAGAUGGUGGGGUAACGGCUCACCAUGGCAAUGAUACGUAGCCGACCUGAGAGGGUAAUCGGCCACAUUGGGACUGAGACACGGCCCAAACUCCUACGGGAGGCAGCAGUAGGGAAUCUUCCACAAUGGACGAAAGUCUGAUGGAGCAACGCCGCGUGAGUGAAGAAGGGUUUCGGCUCGUAAAACUCUGUUGUUAAAGAAGAACAUAUCUGAGAGUAACUGUUCAGGUAUUGACGGUAUUUAACCAGAAAGCCACGGCUAACUACGUGCCAGCAGCCGCGGUAAUACGUAGGUGGCAAGCGUUGUCCGGAUUUAUUGGGCGUAAAGCGAGCGCAGGCGGUUUUUUAAGUCUGAUGUGAAAGCCUUCGGCUCAACCGAAGAAGUGCAUCGGAAACUGGGAAACUUGAGUGCAGAAGAGGACAGUGGAACUCCAUGUGUAGCGGUGAAAUGCGUAGAUAUAUGGAAGAACACCAGUGGCGAAGGCGGCUGUCUGGUCUGUAACUGACGCUGAGGCUCGAAAGUAUGGGUAGCAAACAGGAUUAGAUACCCUGGUAGUCCAUACCGUAAACGACGAAUGCUAAGUGUUGGAGGGUUUCCGCCCUUCAGUGCUGCAGCUAACGCAUUAAGCAUUCCGCCUGGGGAGUACGGCCGCAAGGCUGAAACUCAAAGGAAUUGACGGGGGCCCGCACAAGCGGUGGAGCAUGUGGUUUAAUUCGAAGCUACGCGAAGAACCUUACCAGGUCUUGACAUACUAUGCAAAUCUAAGAGAUUAGACGUUCCCUUCGGGGACAUGGAUACAGGUGGUGCAUGGUUGUCGUCAGCUCGUGUCGUGAGAUGUUGGGUUAAGUCCCGCAACGAGCGCAACCCUUAUUAUCAGUUGCCAGCAUUAAGUUGGGCACUCUGGUGAGACUGCCGGUGACAAACCGGAGGAAGGUGGGGAUGACGUCAAAUCAUCAUGCCCCUUAUGACCUGGGCUACACACGUGCUACAAUGGAUGGUACAACGAGUUGCGAACUCGCGAGAGUAAGCUAAUCUCUUAAAGCCAUUCUCAGUUCGGAUUGUAGGCUGCAACUCGCCUACAUGAAGUCGGAAUCGCUAGUAAUCGCGGAUCAGCAUGCCGCGGUGAAUACGUUCCCGGGCCUUGUACACACCGCCCGUCACACCAUGAGAGUUUGUAACACCCAAAGUCGGUGGGGUAACCUUUUAGGAACCAGCCGCCUAAGGUGGGACAGAUGAUUAGGGUG
This 1489-nucleotide ribosomal RNA is filed under the name Lactiplantibacillus plantarum. RNAcentral describes it as "bacterial SSU rRNA". It matches the Rfam family "Bacterial small subunit ribosomal RNA". Lineage: Bacteria; Bacillati; Bacillota; Bacilli; Lactobacillales; Lactobacillaceae. The record is from RNAcentral.